GAUGAACGCUGGCGGCGUGCCUAAUACAUGCAAGUCGAGCGAACAGAUGAGGAGCUUGCUCCUCUGACGUUAGCGGCGGACGGGUGAGUAAAACGUGGAUAACCUACCUAUAAGACUGGGAUAACUUCGGGAAACCGGAGCUAAUACCGGAUAAUAUAUUGAACCGCAUGGUUCAAUAGUUAAAGACGGUUUUGCUGUCACUUAUAGAUGGAUCCGCGCCGCAUUAGCUAGUUGGUAAGGUAACGGCUUACCAAGGCAACGAUGCGUAGCCGACCUGAGAGGGUGAUCGGCCACACUGGAACUGAGACACGGUCCAGACUCCUACGGGAGGCAGCAGUAGGGAAUCUUCCGCAAUGGGCGAAAGCCUGACGGAGCAACGCCGCGUGAGUGAUGAAGGUCUUCGGAUCGUAAAACUCUGUUAUUAGGGAAGAACAAAUGUGUAAGUAACUAUGCACGUAUUGACGGUACCUAAUCAGAAAGCCACGGCUAACUACGUG
RNAcentral lists this ribosomal RNA (497 nucleotides) under uncultured bacterium. RNAcentral describes it as "partial 16S ribosomal RNA". It matches the Rfam family "Bacterial small subunit ribosomal RNA", at positions 28 to 507 of the family's 1533-position model. The record is from RNAcentral.